CUCAAACCGUGUGCAAAGCAACAGAACAUUCGACCACGUGCUCUUGAUGAGUCUAGUCGAUAUUGUUGAAGGAAUCGAAAAUGAUUGAAAAUUGAUGAAUUUUGUUCGAGGUUCCAUGAUAAUUGGUACCAAAUAAAGUAAAUUCUUUACAUCAAAAUGGACAAAUGAAGAGUAUCGAAUUUUCUGGUUGAUUGGAAAAUAAAUGAUUUAAAUCAUUGAACCAUUGGAUCGGUGUCACCGUAUUCGCUGGAAAAUGGAUUUGGUUGUAUCAUGAUUCGUAGUAGAAGGUGUGUUUAAAUUAUUAAAACUAAAAAUUCAAUCAAAAUAUGAUGAGUGGAACUUGGUUCCCAAAAAAAUAUGACAAGCAUAUGUCUGACCAUCCAUUAUUGAUGAUUUUUUUUCACUGAAUUUUGAUCUGGAUUUAUUAUAAAUUUCCAUCACAUUUGAUCAUUAUUUCUAAUUCGUUUUAUUUUUUUUUUUUUUUAAUU
Non-coding RNA from Dermatophagoides farinae (American house dust mite), 488 nucleotides. The record is from RefSeq and is a predicted model, not a curated record. Lineage: Eukaryota; Metazoa; Arthropoda; Arachnida; Sarcoptiformes; Pyroglyphidae.